This 979-nucleotide small RNA is filed under the name Rattus norvegicus (Norway rat). RNAcentral's name for it is "uncharacterized LOC102546543". Lineage: Eukaryota; Metazoa; Chordata; Mammalia; Rodentia; Muridae. The record is from RNAcentral.
UUAAUGAUCUGCCCCCGAUCAGCUACUACCUGGCUGGUGCCCACAACUCCUACAGCUGCGUCCGAUAAAUUAUAUCCGGGAACUGCCCAUGUCUCACCCAAGUCUCAGCAGGAUACCAUGACUUGUUUAACUUUGUACAAUUCCCGGAGCCUAAGUUCCAUUCUACGCUGACAGUUACAUAACUAUUUCUCCCCUACGCCUUCCCGGCGCCCUAGACGGGAAAGCUUAGCCUGCCCGGACAACUGUUGUAUGCGGCGAAAUGCUGCACGAGCCUUGUCGGCUUCCGUCUUCCGCUGUUUAAUUUCGACUCUGGAGUUCACAAAAUGGCCAUUCCUGUAACGCAGUCCGUGUUUCCGGAGAUUGUCAGCACAGUAAAUAUCCAUCCAAGCCUUCUUCCUCGUCAACGAAACAUGUCGUUUGCGGUACCCACACAUCAACAGGACUUCUAAGCCUGCCACGGUUGCCUUUCCUCCACAGAAGUGUGGAGCUGACUAGCUGUGGGGCAGGAGCAACCAAGCAGAUACCAAGACUCCAGGAAGACGAUGGGAUGGUUCCUUGAUCCUAGGCACUCUCCAGUUCACUGGGUUCUUGUUCACUUUGUAACACUGGAAACUGAUUACCACUGCACAGUGUGUGCUAUGACAGCAUCGGCAGUAUUACUGGUUAUUGUCUAAGUGGCACUGCACCCUCGGGUGUCACUGCAAGGUGCCCGAUACCACCGUGAGUCUGGUUCCUGGUAUUGUUUGCUGCCUGGUCUGAUGUGUUGAUUGAUUUCCUGGAGUCAGCUGGCUUUGAGAUUUGCCGUGGCACAUGCUGAUGUCAAUGUAUUGUCCACAUGAAGUACAUUGGAACAGGGUUCUCCAGGCCUAGUGUUCACAACCAUUGGACUAGGAAUGAUUCCAAAACCUCUGUUGCCCUUGUUGGCCAAUUCGUAACAGAUGUUGUGGCAAUAAAAAUUCCGAUAUGAAACGAAUAAGAA